This 21-nucleotide non-coding RNA is filed under the name Arabidopsis thaliana (thale cress). The record is from RNAcentral. Lineage: Eukaryota; Viridiplantae; Streptophyta; Magnoliopsida; Brassicales; Brassicaceae.
UCAUUGUCCAUUGACGAGAGA